UCAAGCUAAAAAGGGCGCAAGGUGAAUGCCUUGGCACUGGGAGCCGAUGAAAGACGUGGUAAGCUGCGAAAAGCUUCGGGGAGGAGCAAACAUCCAUUGAUCCGGAGAUAUCUGAAUGGGGCAACCCAAUGGAGUUCAUACUCCAUUAUCCAAUACUGAAUCCAUAGGUAUUGGAAGGGAACCGCCUGAACUGAAACAUCUAAGUAGGGCGAGGAAGAGACAUCAAACGAGAUUCCGUAAGUAGUGGCGAGCGAACGCGGAAGAGGGCAAACCGAGAGGAGAAAUCCUUUCGGGGUACGGACUGCUUUUAAGACUGGAAGAGUUAACAGAAUGGCAUGGGAAGGCCAACCGAAGAGUGUGAGAGUCACGUAAGUAAAAAUUCUGACAGCUGCGCAGGAUCCAGAGUACGGCCAGACACGUGAAACCUGGUCGGAACAUGGGGGGACCACCCUCCAACCCUAAAUACUACCCAGUGACCGAUAGCGUAUAGUACUGUGAAGGAAAGGUGAAAAGGACCCCGGGAGGGGAGUGAAAGAGAACCUGAAACCUUGUGCCUACAAGCACAUAGAGCCCGUCAAAGGGUGAUAUGGUACUUUUUGUAGAACGGUCCGGCGAGCGAUUGUACGUUGCGAGCUUAAGGUCUUAAGGACUGGAGGCGUAGCGAGAGCGAGUCUAAACAGGGCGUUUAGUAGCGUGCAAUGGGCCCGAAACCGGGUGACCUACCCAUGAUCAGGCUGAAGUGAAAGUAAAAUUUCAUGGAGGGCCGAACCGACCUCCGUUGAAAAGGCGGCGGAUGAAUUGUGGGUAGCGGAGAAAUUCCAAUCGAACUCGGAGAUAGCUGGUUCUCCCCGAAAUAGCUUUAGGGCUAGCCUCAUGUUAGAUAUCCGGAGGUAAAGCACUGAAUGGCCUAGCGUCCGAGAGGAUAGCGAAGCCUAUCAAACUAAGAAUGCCGGAAUAUUGAUGCAUGGGAGUCAGACAGUGUGAGAUAAAUCUCAUUGUCAAAAGGGAAACAGCCCAGAUCUACAGCUAAGGUCCCAAAUUGUAUCUAAGUGGAAAACGAUGUGGAAAUACGCAGACAACCAGGAUGUUGGCUCAGAAGCAGCCACUCAUUUAAAGAGUGCGUAAUAGCUCACUGGUCGAGCGUCUCUGCGCGGAAAAUUUAACGGGGCUAAGAUACAAACCGAAGCUUAGGCUGCAUACGUAAGUAUGCGGGGUAGGGGAGCGUUGUGUAAGCGGAGAAACAGUAGCGGAAGCGGCUGUGGAGUUUACAGAAGUGAGAAUGCCGGAAUGAGUAGCGCGAAUGAUGUGAGAAUCAUCAUGGCCGGAAACCUCAGGUUUUUGGAGGAAGGUUCGUCCGCUCCAAGUUAGGCGGGAGCUAAGGUGAGGCCGAAAGGCGUAGCCGAUGCACAGACGGUAGAGAUUCCGUCCCCACCGAAAGAUUUAAGCGCAGGGACACUUUUAGAAGGUCGGAGCCAGGUGUUGGUUCUGGUAGAGAUCGAGGGAAAUUUAGUACCGAAGUCCGGCUGGAUAAGAGGCGAGAAAAGCUGCGUGUAUAUCUAAGGUGCCCGUACCGCAAACCGACACAGGUAGGUAGGAAGAAGAUUCUAAGGCCAACGGGAGAAGGGUUGUUAAGGAACUCGGCAAGUUGACCCCGUAACUUCGGAAUAAGGGGUGCUCAUGAAAGUGAGCCGCAGAGAAUAGGCCCAGGCAACUGUUUACCAAAAACACAGGUUUGUGCUAAAUCGAAAGAUGACGUAUACGAGCUGACGCCUGCCCGGUGCUGGAAGGUUAAAAGGAGAUGUGCAAGCAUUGAAUUGAAGCCCCAGUGAACGGCGGCCGUAACUAUAACGGUCCUAAGGUAGCGAAAUUCCUUGUCAGGUAAGUUCUGACCCGCAUGAAAGGCGUAAUGAUCUGGGCACUGUCUCAACAGCCCGCCCGGCGAAAUUGUAGUACCGGUGAAGAUGCCGGUUACCCGCGACAAGACGGAAAGACCCCAUGGAGCUUUACUGUAGCCUAAUAUUGGGUUUCGGUGUUGCAUGCACAGGAUAGAUGGGACGCUAGGA
Molecule: ribosomal RNA, 2063 nt
Filed under: human gut metagenome
Description: bacterial LSU rRNA
Rfam family: Bacterial large subunit ribosomal RNA
Source: RNAcentral